This 460-nucleotide ribosomal RNA is filed under the name uncultured bacterium. Its description in RNAcentral is "partial 16S ribosomal RNA". It matches the Rfam family "Bacterial small subunit ribosomal RNA", at positions 338 to 795 of the family's 1533-position model. The record is from RNAcentral.
CCUACGGGUGGCAGCAGUGAGGCAUAUUGGUCAAUGGACGAGAGUCUGAACCAGCCAAGUAGCGUGAAGGAUGACUGCCCUAUGGGUUGUACACUUCUUUUAUAUGGGAGUAAAAUGUUCCACGUGUGGGAUUUUGUAUGUACCCUAUUAAUAAGGAUCGGCUAACCCCGUGCCAGCAGCCGUGGUAAUACGGAGGAUCCGAGCGUUCUCCGGAUUUAUUGGGUUUAAAGGGAGCGUAGGUUGAUUGUUAAGUCAGUUGUGAAAGUUUGCGGGUCAACCGGAAAAUUGCAGUUGAAACUGGCAGUCGAGAGUACAGUAGAGGUGGGCGGAAUGCGUGGUGUAGCGGUGAAAUGCUUAGAUAUCACGAAGAACUCCGAUUGCGAAGGCAGGUCACUGGACUGCAACUGACACUGAGGCUCGAAAGUGUGGGUAUCAAACAGGAGUAGAUACCCCAGUAGUC